RNAcentral lists this transfer RNA (579 nucleotides) under Sphingomonas sp. SLAU-23. RNAcentral's name for it is "partial 16S-23S ribosomal RNA intergenic spacer". The stretch from base 203 to 276 matches the Rfam family "tRNA". The record is from RNAcentral. Lineage: Bacteria; Pseudomonadati; Pseudomonadota; Alphaproteobacteria; Sphingomonadales; Sphingomonadaceae.
GGCCGACGGCGCACCCUCUUUCUAGGAAUCGGCGGAAGCGCUGCACUCUUGUAGGGAGAAGAGCUUCCUCCAUUCCAAAGAACAUAGGCCGCCGUCCUCAUGUCCCUUCAUCACUGGAAAAUACGCCUUGGCAGCAAGGUGUAUCUGCCUGGCAGGCUUUCGAGCGCCUCGCGCUGCUGUAAAAAGCGGCUUGCAAGGCACCGGGCCGGUAGCUCAGGUGGUUAGAGCGCACGCCUGAUAAGCGUGAGGUCGGAGGUUCAACUCCUCCCCGGCCCACCAUAGCUUGGCUGGGGGCUGUAGCUCAGAUGGGAGAGCGGUUGCUUUGCAAGCAUCACGUCAUCUUGUCUAUCCCGAUAAGCUCCGCCAACCGGACUGCGUAGCGAUGUGUCGCGCAUGAGCAGACAAUUUCUAGGGAGGAAGAUGAACCGUCUGCCAGCCAAGGGGUGCUGAUAUCAAGCUGCAUUGCGCUCCUCUUUGACAUUGUGAAUGGCAUUUUUUAAUCCAUGCCGGGCUCACACUGUCUUUCUCGUUCUUCGCGAUCAUCAGAACGAGACGGAAUCGCAGCCGAUGAUCGGUACA